UGUUCGCCUUUGUUUUCCCAAGCCGUCUACCGCGCAGCACAAACCGUUUCUACCCCUUUAGCGAGCGAGUGACUCAUUGGUCCCGUCCCUGGAGCACAAACACACACACACACACGAACCGUUCGUCGCGUGACGCACUGCGCCCGUCUGUGCCUCCCCAUCCCACUCCCACCCCCAAACAUUUCUCGCUCGAGCACCAGGCAUCUCGUCCGCUUUCGUUUUUCGCUUGGGUUUCCUUUUGACCCCCUCCUUACUGUCCCACGCAUUGCAGUGCCUUCGUGUGUGCGUGUGCGUGUUUGGACGGUGUUGCCCCAGUCCCCACCUCCAUCGCCUGCCAGCACCCAACACGGCAACCUUCCAGCAGCAGGUCUCGAGCUGCUGCUGCCUCUCCUCAUUUGUCUGCCUCUACUCUAGUGUUGCUUACUUUCUUCCUCAAUAUUCUCUCCUCCCUCCUUCCCAUUAUCCCUCCAUCCCUCCCCCCUCCUCUCCGCCAUUGAUCUACUUGGCAUCAUCUUCUGCAAAACCCACUCGCACCUCCUGGCCGGCACUCUACCCCUUGACCCCGCUAUCCUCCUCUCUCGUGUCACCUGCACAG
RNAcentral lists this unclassified non-coding RNA (595 nucleotides) under Leishmania donovani. RNAcentral's name for it is "gene:unknown". The record is from RNAcentral. Lineage: Eukaryota; Euglenozoa; Kinetoplastea; Trypanosomatida; Trypanosomatidae.